This 258-nucleotide ribosomal RNA is filed under the name uncultured prokaryote. Its description in RNAcentral is "partial 16S ribosomal RNA". It matches the Rfam family "Bacterial small subunit ribosomal RNA", at positions 524 to 780 of the family's 1533-position model. The record is from RNAcentral.
UACGUAGGGUGCGAGCGUUGUCCGGAAUUACUGGGCGUAAAGAGCUCGUAGGUGGUUUGUCACGUCGUCUGUGAAAUUCCGGGGCUUAACCUCGGGCGUGCAGGCGAUACGGGCAAUACUUGAGUGCUGUAGGGGAGACUGGAAUUCCUGGUGUGGCGGUGAAAUGCGCAGAUAUCAGGAGGAACACCAAUGGCGAAGGCAGGUCUCUGGGCAGUUACUGACGCUGAGGAGCGAAAGCAUGGGUAGCGAACAGGAUUA